AUUGAACGCUGGCGGCAGGCCUAACACAUGCAAGUCGAGCGGAUGAAGGGAGCUUGCUCCUGGAUUCAGCGGCGGACGGGUGAGUAAUGCCUAGGAAUCUGCCUGGUAGUGGGGGAUAACGUCCGGAAACGGGCGCUAAUACCGCAUACGACCUGAGGGAGAAAGUGGGGGAUCUUCGGACCUCACGCUAUCAGAUGAGCCUAGGUCGGAUUAGCUAGUUGGUGGGGUAAAGGCCUACCAAGGCGACGAUCCGUAACUGGUCUGAGAGGAUGAUCAGUCACACUGGAACUGAGACACGGUCCAGACUCCUACGGGAGGCAGCAGUGGGGAAUAUUGGACAAUGGGCGAAAGCCUGAUCCAGCAAUGCCGCGUGUGUGAAGAAGGUCUUCGGAUUGUAAAGCACUUUAAGUUGGGAAGAAGGGCAGUAAGUUAAUACCUUGCUGUUUUGACGUUACCAAAAGAAUAAGCACCGGCUAACUUCGUG
RNAcentral lists this ribosomal RNA (484 nucleotides) under uncultured bacterium. RNAcentral's name for it is "partial 16S ribosomal RNA". It matches the Rfam family "Bacterial small subunit ribosomal RNA", at positions 30 to 507 of the family's 1533-position model. The record is from RNAcentral.